Molecule: ribosomal RNA, 1081 nt
Filed under: Psychrobacter faecalis
Lineage: Bacteria; Pseudomonadati; Pseudomonadota; Gammaproteobacteria; Moraxellales; Moraxellaceae
Description: bacterial SSU rRNA
Rfam family: Bacterial small subunit ribosomal RNA
Source: RNAcentral
CGGCUCAGAUUGAACGCUGGCGGCAGGCUUAACACAUGCAAGUCGAGCGGUAACAGGAGAAGCUUGCUUCUCGCUGACGAGCGGCGGACGGGUGAGUAAUACUUAGGAAUCUACCUAGUAGUGGGGGAUAGCUCGGGGAAACUCGAAUUAAUACCGCAUACGACCUACGGGAGAAAGGGGGCAACUUGUUGCUCUCGCUAUUAGAUGAGCCUAAGUCGGAUUAGCUAGAUGGUGGGGUAAAGGCCUACCAUGGCGACGAUCUGUAGCUGGUCUGAGAGGAUGAUCAGCCACACCGGGACUGAGACACGGCCCGGACUCCUACGGGAGGCAGCAGUGGGGAAUAUUGGACAAUGGGGGCAACCCUGAUCCAGCCAUGCCGCGUGUGUGAAGAAGGCCUUUUGGUUGUAAAGCACUUUAAGCAGUGAAGAAGACUCCAUGGUUAAUACCCAUGGACGAUGACAUUAGCUGCAGAAUAAGCACCGGCUAACUCUGUGCCAGCAGCCGCGGUAAUACAGAGGGUGCAAGCGUUAAUCGGAAUUACUGGGCGUAAAGCGAGCGUAGGUGGCUUGAUAAGUCAGAUGUGAAAGCCCCGGGCUUAACCUGGGAACGGCAUCUGAUACUGUUAGGCUAGAGUAGGUGAGAGGAAGGUAGAAUUCCAGGUGUAGCGGUGAAAUGCGUAGAGAUCUGGAGGAAUACCGAUGGCGAAGGCAGCCUUCUGGCAUCAUACUGACACUGAGGUUCGAAAGCGUGGGUAGCAAACAGGAUUAGAUACCCUGGUAGUCCACGCCGUAAACGAUGUCUACUAGUCGUUGGGUCCCUUGAGGACUUAGUGACGCAGCUAACGCAAUAAGUAGACCGCCUGGGGAGUACGGCCGCAAGGUUAAAACUCAAAUGAAUUGACGGGGGCCCGCACAAGCGGUGGAGCAUGUGGUUUAAUUCGAUGCAACGCGAAGAACCUUACGUGGUCUUGACAUAUCUAGAAUCCUGCAGAGAUGCGGGAGUGCCUUCGGGAAUUAGAAUACAGGUGCUGCAUGGCUGUCGUCAGCUCGUGUCGUGAGAUGUUGGGUUAAGUCCCGCAACG